GAUCUCGUAGUGUAGUGGUUAUCACAUCUGCCUUACACACAGAAGGUCGGCGGUUCGAGUCAGCCCGCCAUCA
Molecule: non-coding RNA, 73 nt
Organism: Dictyocaulus viviparus (bovine lungworm)
Lineage: Eukaryota; Metazoa; Nematoda; Chromadorea; Rhabditida; Metastrongylidae
Source: Rfam